CGACCUACGGGGGGCAGCAGUGGGGGAUAUUGCACAAUGGGGGGAACCCUGAUGCAGCGACGCCGCGUGAAGGAAGAAGGCUUUCGGGUUGUAAACUUCUUUUCUCAGGGAUGAAGCAAGUGACGGUACCUGAGGAAUAAGCCACGGCUAACUACGUGCUAGCAGCCGCGGUAAUACGUAGGUGGCAAGCGUUAUCCGGAUUUACUGGGUGUAAAGGGGGCGCAGACGGCAGCGCAAGCCAGGAGUGAAAGCCCGGGGCCCAACCCCGGGACUGCUCUUGGAACUGCGCGGCUGGAGUGCAGGAG
This 305-nucleotide ribosomal RNA is filed under the name uncultured bacterium. RNAcentral describes it as "bacterial SSU rRNA". It matches the Rfam family "Bacterial small subunit ribosomal RNA", at positions 333 to 654 of the family's 1533-position model. The record is from RNAcentral.